This 29-nucleotide small RNA is filed under the name Bombyx mori (domestic silkworm). RNAcentral describes it as "ovarian small RNA-9780". Lineage: Eukaryota; Metazoa; Arthropoda; Insecta; Lepidoptera; Bombycidae. The record is from RNAcentral.
UUUACCAUGUGCCGAAAGUAUUUGAUGGC